GAUGGGCAAUAGCAGGUUCCGCGCGAGACUACUCGUAGGUAGACCUCUGUUGAGAUAGAUUACGCUGUAGAGCACUGAUUGGGUGUUUAGGGGGAGCAAUCCCUCGGCAUGCUGCCAAACUCCGAAGGUGUAAUCGUUGAAGAAGCAGGGAGUGAGCCACGGUGGGUAAGCUACCGUGACGAAAGGUGAACAAACCAGCCUAGUGUUAAGGUCCCAAAAUUCCAACUAAAUGUAAAGAUAAACCGUGUCCGUGGUCGAAGACAACUAGAAGGUGGGCUUAGAAGCAGCCACCCUUGAAAGAGUUCGUAACAGAUCACUAGUCAAGCUUGCGGGCCGGGAAAAGGGACGGGGCUAAGUUGGAUACCGAUACAUUAGACCAGCGAAAGCUGAUGUGGUAGCGCGGCGAUAUGCUCGGGCAGAAGCGAGGCUGUGAAGUCUCGUGGACCGUGUAUAUAUGAGAAUCCAGGGAAGAGUAGCAGCAAAGUGUGGUGAGAAUCCGCACCACCGGAGGGGCCAGGGUUCCUCGGCAAUGAUCGUCAGCCGAGGGUUAGCCGGUCCUAAGGAUAUCCUUAACCGAGAUAUUCGAAAGGGAAAUGCGUUAAUAUUCGUAUGCCUCUGUACAAUAAUGGUGACGGCUUUGGUUAGUUCGGCGAGUCAUAUAGCAGGCUCGUGAAGCGUUCAAUAAUCGAUUGGAGAACCGUCAUGGUGAGAAGAUCGAGAAGGCGUGAAAGUAAUCCGAAUGAUACCAAGGUCCCGUGAAAAGCCGUACAGAUGACCGUACCGAGAACUGACACAGGUGCCCCUGGGUGAGUAGCCUAAGGUGUGACGGAAAAACAACCGCGAGGGAACUCGGCAAAAUCGCCCCGUAACUUCGGGAGAAGGGGUGCCAGCCUUGAGAAAGGCUGGUCGCAGUGACUAGAGGACUCCGACUGUUUAAUAAAAACAUAGGCGACUGCCAGUCCGAAAGGAUGUGUAUAGUCGCUGAAUCCUGCUCAGUGCCGGUAUCUGAAAUGGGGGUACAACCUCACGAAGGACCGGUAAACAGCGGGGGUAACUAUGACCCUCUUAAGGUAGCGUAAUACCUUGUCGCUUAAUUGGCGACUUGCAUGAAUGGUCUAACGAGAGUCCUACUGUCCCCGCGGUUGGUCCGGCGAAAUUGACUUUACUGGCGCACAGUCCAGUACCUUCAGCCUGCAAGCGAAGACCCCAUAGAGCUUUACUGCAGCCUGUCGUUGUGUAGUGGCACUCCACGUGCUGCGUAGACGGGAGACAUCGAUCCACCAGACGCCAGUCUGGUGGGGAGUCGAAAAGAGAGACACCGUCCUUGAAGUGCAACUACACUCACUCUUAACGAGGACACCGGUAGGUGGGCAGUUUGGGUGGGGCGCCACGCGCUCGAAAUGAUAACAAGCGUGCCCAAAGGUCAGCUUAGGUGGUUCAGUCUCCACCGCUAAAUGUAAGGGUAAAAGCUGGCUUGACGUGGAUCGGCACAAUAACGAUCGACGAUGCGAAAGCAGGGCCUAACGAACCUACUAGCCUCAUUUAUGGGGGCAGUAGAUAACAGAAAAGUUACCUUGGGGAUAAUUGAGUUGUCACCAGCAAGAGCUCACAUCGACCUGGUGGCUUGCUACUUCGAUGUCGUCUCUUCCUAUCCUGGGUCUGCAGCAGGACCCAAGGGUGGGGUUGUUCGCCCAUUAAAAGGGAUCGUGAGAUGGGUUUAGACCGUCGUGAGACAGGUUUGUUGCUUUGUGGCUGAAGCGCGUAAGAUACCUGACGGGAAGGGGCUCUUAGUACGAGAGGAACGGAGUCUCGGUGCCACUAGUCUACCAGUUGUCUGCUAAGGCAAUGCUGGGUAGCCACGCACCAAUGGAUAAGAGCUGAAAGCAUCUAAGCUCGAAGUCAACCUGAAGACGAGGUAUCUCAGAGCUCCGAUAAAAGAUCGGUUUGAUAGACUGCGGGUGUAAGCACCAAGGUUCGCCGAGGUGUGUAGCCCAGCAGCACUAAUCGCUCGAGCAUCUUCUUUUU
Molecule: ribosomal RNA, 2025 nt
Filed under: marine metagenome
Description: bacterial LSU rRNA
Rfam family: Archaeal large subunit ribosomal RNA
Source: RNAcentral